AGUGAACGCUGGCGGUAGGCCUAACACAUGCAAGUCGAACGGCAGCACAGGAGAGCUUGCUCUCUGGGUGGCGAGUGGCGGACGGGUGAGGAAUACAUCGGAAUCUACUCUGUCGUGGGGGAUAACGUAGGGAAACUUACGCUAAUACCGCAUACGACCUACGGGUGAAAGCAGGGGACCUUCGGGCCUUGCGCGAUUGAAUGAGCCGAUGUCGGAUUAGCUAGUUGGCGGGGUAAAGGCCCACCAAGGCGACGAUCCGUAGCUGGUCUGAGAGGAUGAUCAGCCACACUGGAACGGAGACACGGUCCAGACUCCUACGGGAGGCAGCAGUGGGGAGUAUUGGACAAUGGGCGCAAGCCUGAUCCAGCCAUACCGCGUGGGUGAAGAAGGCCUUCGGGUUGUAAAGCCCUUUUGUUGGGAAAGAAAUCCAGCUGGCUAAUACCCGGUUGGGAUGACGGUACCCAAAGAAUAAGCACCGGUUAACUUCGCGCCAGCCGCCGCAGUAA
RNAcentral lists this ribosomal RNA (506 nucleotides) under uncultured bacterium. RNAcentral describes it as "partial 16S ribosomal RNA". It matches the Rfam family "Bacterial small subunit ribosomal RNA", at positions 29 to 523 of the family's 1533-position model. The record is from RNAcentral.